Molecule: ribosomal RNA, 496 nt
Filed under: Burkholderia sp. Hu85A
Lineage: Bacteria; Pseudomonadati; Pseudomonadota; Betaproteobacteria; Burkholderiales; Burkholderiaceae
Description: bacterial SSU rRNA
Rfam family: Bacterial small subunit ribosomal RNA
Source: RNAcentral
UAAUGGGGCAUGCUUACCAUGCAAGUCGAACGGCAGCACGGGUGCUUGCACCUGGUGGCGAGUGGCGAACGGGUGAGUAAUACAUCGGAACAUGUCCUGUAGUGGGGGAUAGCCCGGCGAAAGCCGGAUUAAUACCGCAUACGAUCUCUGGAUGAAAGCGGGGGACCUUCGGGCCUCGCGCUAUAGGGUUGGCCGAUGGCUGAUUAGCUAGUUGGUGGGGUAAAGGCCUACCAAGGCGACGAUCAGUAGCUGGUCUGAGAGGACGACCAGCCACACUGGGACUGAGACACGGCCCAGACUCCUACGGGAGGCAGCAGUGGGGAAUUUUGGACAAUGGGCGAAAGCCUGAUCCAGCAAUGCCGCGUGUGUGAAGAAGGCCUUCGGGUUGUAAAGCACUUUUGUCCGGAAAGAAAUCCUUGGCCCUAAUACGGUCGGGGGAUGACGGUACCGGAAGAAUAAGCACCGGCUAACUACGUGCCAGCAGCGACGGUAAUAA